This 512-nucleotide ribosomal RNA is filed under the name uncultured Glomeromycotina. RNAcentral describes it as "SSU rRNA". It matches the Rfam family "Eukaryotic small subunit ribosomal RNA", at positions 569 to 1081 of the family's 1831-position model. Lineage: Eukaryota; Fungi; Glomeromycota. The record is from RNAcentral.
AGCAGCCGCGGUAAUUCCAGCUCCAAUAGCGUAUAUUAAAGUUGUUGCAGUUAAAAAGCUCGUAGUUGAAUUUCGGAAUCUGUCCAUCGGUCGGGCUUCACUGUCCGUACUGGUGUGGUGGGUUCUUACCUUCUGAAUAACCAGCAUGCCAUUUAUUUGGUGCGCUGGGGAAGCAGGACUAUUACCUUGAAAAAAUUAGAGUGCUCAAAGCAGGCUAGUGCCUGAAUACAUUAGCAUGGAAUAAUAAAAUAGGACGGCAUGGUUCUAUUUUGUUGGUUUCUAGGAUCACCGUAAUGAUUAAUAGAGAUAGUUGGGGGCAUUAGUAUUCAAUUGUCAGAGGUGAAAUUCUUGGAUUUAUUGAAGACUAACUACUGCGAAAGCAUUUGCCAAGGAUGUUUUCAUUAAUCAAGAACGAAAGUUAGGGGAUCGAAGACGAUCAGAUACCGUCGUAGUCUUAACCAUAAACUAUGCCGACUAGGGAUCGGAUGAUGUUAAUUUUUAAUGACUCAUUC